CAAUCCCAAUGCUCAGUUGGCUUCACCCUUCCUGGACUGAUCUGAGAAGCAACUGAUAAACACAGCAGGAAGAACAGAUUAAUUCCUUUAUCUGGGAUGCAUCUUCUGACAGGAACAGAGAAUGGAUGGCCCCUCUUGGAGCAGAUCUUUAUCCGGAAACGUGCUAGACACAGAUCUUAGUCCAGCAGCAAAGUAUCCAAAGACUCUGAUGGAAGAGAGCGGAAAUUUCCACAGCUGGCAGGAAAGAGGUUGUAGUGAGCAGGAGGAAGGAUCACUGCUGUCAGAAGUACUACAGUGGGCUGUGGCAUUGUGUGGCUCAGAUAUAAAUCAACAGAAAAGCUUGC
RNAcentral lists this long non-coding RNA (344 nucleotides) under Gallus gallus (chicken). Lineage: Eukaryota; Metazoa; Chordata; Aves; Galliformes; Phasianidae. The record is from RNAcentral.